CCCAGCACGGUAAUUACGUCCUGUAUUGAGUCCAGGUGCGUCACUGAGGGCGAAUUGAAAACAAACAAAGCUAAUUUUUCUUCAUAUUUCACCGAAAUUUACACUUUUCCCCGAUGAAAAUGACACCAAUAACAUCGUCCAACGUACCAUUUGAGUGUCUUCGUCGGCUCCGUGAUGAGUUUAAAGUUCGCUGAGCUCUCCUUCCACUUCCUGCCGGUUUCUGCAGCGGAGCUUAUAUCGCAUCUCUACAGUUGGGCCAUCAACACAGCAAGUGGUCUGAGUAUCUAAAAGAAGACUGCUGAGGAUUUCUUAAGGUGGAUCUGAGGUGAACGUGGUCAGCAGCCAAUGAACAUCAACACAGCAGGCGGUCCCAGGAAAGAGGACUCCUUAAGGGAACAGAAGUGAAGCAUCUCUACAGUUGGGCCAUCAACACAGCAAGUGGUCUGAGUAUCUAAAAGAAGACUGCUGAGGAUUUCUUAAGUCUGUGUUUGUGCUCCGUGGCCUCCUCCAUGUUCCCCUCCUUCAGAGACUUGGUCACGUGCUGCCACAGGUGAACUCCAGAGUUCCGUUCCACUCACCCUGUGCUUUACACACCAGUGUGUUGGUCAGGUUGUGUUUGACCUCGGCCGUGACUCUGAGGGGACAACAGACGGAAUGGUCAUUGACAGGGCUGCUGCAGUGGAGACUCGUCAGGAGGACACAUCUACUGAGGACAGAGUGACACGGAAUGGCUUGGUGUGGAAAGUGACGGAGGCUGAGUAUCCACUCUUAAUACAGCUGAUGGAGACUUUUCCUCCCAGCUCCACCCAGGGCACAGUGAGGAUGGAGCGAGCGUAGGCACAGGGCAGCGUGAAGACGUACUCCUCAUCGUGUUCCAGGAGGUGCAGGACUCCUAAGGGGGGAGAGAGAAGGAGACAUGUUAUGUGGAGGGGUGAAGAAGGUGAAAAUAAAAGUUCUUUUCCUGAAAAAA
This is a long non-coding RNA of Cynoglossus semilaevis (tongue sole), 970 nucleotides long. RefSeq lists it as uncharacterized. Lineage: Eukaryota; Metazoa; Chordata; Actinopteri; Pleuronectiformes; Cynoglossidae. The record is from RefSeq and is a predicted model, not a curated record. The transcript is spliced from 9 exons.